This 465-nucleotide ribosomal RNA is filed under the name Vreelandella stevensii. RNAcentral's name for it is "partial 16S ribosomal RNA". It matches the Rfam family "Bacterial small subunit ribosomal RNA", at positions 338 to 795 of the family's 1533-position model. Lineage: Bacteria; Pseudomonadati; Pseudomonadota; Gammaproteobacteria; Oceanospirillales; Halomonadaceae. The record is from RNAcentral.
CCUACGGGAGGCUGCAGUGGGGAAUAUUGGACAAUGGGGGCAACCCUGAUCCAGCCAUACCGCGUGUGUGAAGAAGGCCCUCGGGUUGUAAAGCACUUUCAGUGAGGAAGAACGCCUGGUGGUUAAUACCCAUCAGGAACGACAUCACUCACAGAAGAAGCACCGGCUAACUCCGUGCCAGCAGCCGCGGUAAUACGGAGGGUGCGAGCGUUAAUCGGAAUUACUGGGCGUAAAGCGCGCGUAGGUGGCUUGAUAAGCCGGUUGUGAAAGCCCCGGGCUCAACCUGGGAACGGCAUCCGGAACUGUGAAGCUAGAGUGCAGGAGAGGAAGGUAGAAUUCCCGGUGUAGCGGUGAAAUGCGUAGAGAUCGGGAGGAAUACCAGUGGCGAAGGCGGCCUUCUGGACUGACACUGACGCUGAGGUGCGAAAGCGUGGGUAGCAAACAGGAUUAGAUACCCCUGUAGUC